This 433-nucleotide ribosomal RNA is filed under the name uncultured bacterium. RNAcentral's name for it is "partial 16S ribosomal RNA". It matches the Rfam family "Bacterial small subunit ribosomal RNA", at positions 29 to 507 of the family's 1533-position model. The record is from RNAcentral.
AAUGAACGCUGGCGGCAGGCCUAACACAUGCAAGUCGAGCGAGCAUUUCGGUGCUAGCGGCGUACGGGUGAGUAACGCGUGGGAACGUGCCCUUUUCUGCGGAAUAGUCCUGGGAAACUGGUGGUAAUACCGCAUACGCCCUUUUGGGGAAAGAUUUAUCGGAGAAGGAUCGGCCCGCGUUGGAUUAGGUAGUUGGUGGGGUAAUGGCCCACCAAGCCGACGAUCCAUAGCUGGUUUGAGAGGAUGAUCAGCCACACUGGGACUGAGACACGGCCCAGACUCCUACGGGAGGCAGCAGUGGGGAAUCUUAGACAAUGGGGGCAACCCUGAUCUAGCCAUGACGCGUGAGUGAUGAAGGCCUUAGGGUUGUAAAGCUCUUUCAGCUGGGAAGAUAAUGACGGUACCAGCAGAAGAAGCCCCGGCUAACUCCGUG